RNAcentral lists this transfer RNA (68 nucleotides) under Omadius sp. RNAcentral's name for it is "tRNA-Ser". The record is from RNAcentral. Lineage: Eukaryota; Metazoa; Arthropoda; Insecta; Coleoptera; Cleridae.
GAAAUAUGAUUAAUCAAGAAUAAGCUUCUAACUUAAAUCUUAAGCAGUGUAACUCUGUUUAUAUUUCU